CCCUUAGAUGUUCUGGGCUGCACGCGUGCUACAAUGGCGCUUGCAACAAGUCUUGCCAACCCGAUAGGGUGAGCGGAUCUUUGAAGAGGCGUCGUGAUCGGGACAGUUGAUUGCAAUUAUUCGACUCGAACGAGGAAUUCCUUGUAAUCGCGAUUCAUCAUAUCGCGCUGAAUACGUCCCUGCCCUUUGUACACACCGCCCGUCGCUCCUACCGAUUGAGCGAUCCGGUGAAUGUUUUGGACUGGCGUCAGAGGCGGUUCGCUCCUGACACUACGAAAUUUUGUAAACCUUAUCGCUUAGAGGAAGGAAAAGUCGUAACA
RNAcentral lists this ribosomal RNA (320 nucleotides) under uncultured eukaryote. RNAcentral's name for it is "partial 18S ribosomal RNA". It matches the Rfam family "Eukaryotic small subunit ribosomal RNA", at positions 1470 to 1796 of the family's 1831-position model. The record is from RNAcentral.